RNAcentral lists this ribosomal RNA (406 nucleotides) under uncultured bacterium. Its description in RNAcentral is "partial 16S ribosomal RNA". It matches the Rfam family "Bacterial small subunit ribosomal RNA", at positions 30 to 526 of the family's 1533-position model. The record is from RNAcentral.
AUUGAACGCUGGCGGCAGGCCUAACACAUGCAAGUCGAACGAGUGGCGGACGGGUGAGUAAUGUCUGGGAAACUGCCUGAUGGAGGGGGAUAACUACUGGAAACGGUAGCUAAUACCGCAUACCAUCGGAUGUGCCCCGAUGGGAUUAGCUAGUAGGUGGGGUAAUGGCUCACCUAGGCGACGAUCCCUAGCUGGUCUGAGAGGAUGACCAGCCAAACUGGGACUGAUACACGGUCCAUACUCCUACGGGAGGCAGAAGUGGUGAAUAUGGCACAAUGGGCGCAAGCCUGAUUCAGCCAUGCCGCGUGUAUGAAGAAGGCCUUCGGGUUGUAAAGUACUUUCAGCGGGGAGGCGUUACCCGCAGAAGAAGCACCGGCUAACUCCGUGCCAGCCGCCGCGGUAAUAC